Molecule: RNA transcript, 2840 nt
Organism: Folsomia candida
Lineage: Eukaryota; Metazoa; Arthropoda; Collembola; Entomobryomorpha; Isotomidae
Exons: 9
Source: RefSeq, a predicted model, not a curated record
UGCAGAGACAGAGAGAGAGGAAUAAGGUGACGAUAACCCGAUCAUCCAAGUGGGGAAUGAUGACCAUCAUCACCAUCAUCAUCUGGUCGGAUUGACCAUAAAGGAGAACAAUAAACAAAGGAUGACUGUUCUUAUUCAUGUCCUCCAAGGAAGAAUGGUGGUUUGGUAUUAAUACAUUAUCCAAUUAUGGAUUUAUUGAUUUUCUAUACAUUUAUCAAUUUUAUAGGAUCGGAACAAUGCUCGAGUUUCUAUUACAUAGAAAUAGACUUUAAGCGGAUUAUUAUUCAUGUAGAACAAGGAAUUAACAUCAAUACUAGACAAAUAAGGGAAUUAGCGUGAUUGAAAACUGUCGGGUAGUAGUUAGAAUUAUGGGAAAAUGAAAUUGAAUGGAAUCAAAGAACACAGGAUUUUGUGUUACUUAUCGGAUUAUUAUGAAAUGGAUGUGACUUUAUCAGAUGAAAUAAUAACCGGUUAAGUCCAACCUGUCUGCGGUAUUGUGUUUCUGAUGCAUGGCUUCACCUCCUCCACGACCUCCUACUUUUACCAAUACCAUUAAGUAAUGGAGUUUUGAUACUUAAGUCACUGAGCCGAAUGAACCAUUACUUUCUCCCUGGUAAAACCGAAUUCUACUUCCCAUUAGACCGAAUUUAGUACAGACGAACACUAACGUGCGGUCAUUUCCUUAUCUAUUUCGGAACAUCACCCAUCAUUUCAUUGCGUUUACUAACUGACUGACUGACGGUUGUACGGUAUGAACCAGCUAAAUAUGUGGUGCCCGAGUCAGAAGUGGGUAGUAGGAAUGGAAUGAAAGUACGUAAGCAGACCCGGGUGCCGGGUUUUGAGACUUUCUUUUGCCUCUUGCUUUCCCCGAUAAAUUCGCCAAUAUUGCUUGGCUUGGUAGUUUUCUUUUCCUAUUUUCAUCUCUUUGGGCUCAGUCAGUUAGGUAGGUAGAAGUAAGAAGUUUCUUAAAUUUAAUAAGCAGUAAUCAUGUUAUUAGCUGCUACUUUUAGUGGAAAUUAUUAAAUCUCAGUCAGCGGUAUAUCGAACCGUUUUGUUGUUUGCUGAGUGCGACAGGCUGUAAUUUUUAUGGGUAAUCGUCGUAGGACAUCUUAUAAGUGAUGGACCCCGGUUAUUUAUACAUACAUAGGACCCCGUAAUUUCUUGUGGGUGAUAAAUUAAUUGUGAGGCAAACACGUGCUUUGUUUAUAAAAAUACAUGUCAAUCAUUGACACACAAAAUUAUUUGCGGCCUUAUGUUACGCUCUUUAAAGAAGUGUGCACAUAUGUAUUUAAAACAAGAGAAUAAGAUUCUGCAUAAUAAAUAAAACCAAAUGUGUUGUCUCAUAUUUUCUCGGAGAGGUUUAGCCUAUUUUGGAGUUUUUGUCCAAUUGCUUGUAGCACUCAUGAUAAUUCCCGUGAUAACUUUACUCGUCGCGUACACCGCUGGAACUUCUCGAGAUGGUAGUGGACGACAUCUUUCUUCCCCGGAAAUGGCAUUCGUGGUCAUUUACUGUCUCGGACUCUGUCUCCUGGCAGGAAUUAUAUUUGCUGGAAUUCGCACAGACUCCCUGCAAAGUCUCUACAUCUCGAUCGCCUCUCUCAUGAUUUUGCAAUUGUUCGCUGGCGUGAUUACGAUCCUGUCCUGGAAACCCGACACGUUUUUCACGGACGAGAAAGAAGUCUUGAUAAGAGUGACCUGCCUGACACUCAAUAUCAUUUCGACGAUAACCUACCUCUGCAUACUUAUCUGCUACACGAGCCAUCUCAAAAAUAAGUUACGGGCAGAGUAUGAAGCUGAAGAGGAGGAUUUCUACUAUCACCAGAGCCAGCAGUAGGAUCUAAACCUCGACUUAGAAAAAUUCUUACGUAAUAAGAAGAACGAAAUGGUGACAGCUUGGGUUUCGAUGAUGCAAAGAAAUAGGAAAUUAUUUAAUUUAAACAUUCCUUGACUUGUAUGUAUGUACACGCAAUUUUGGACUAAUUGGUAAUUAGCCAUGUGUUACAAGAGUCCCACAUCAUCCUGCGAGCAUGUGUGUGUACAUGCCCAUAUUUCGUAAUUAUUAAAUAUCACGUCAGCUGCGAAACUAAAUACAUAAAGUGUGUCUGCAAAUGAAUAGCUAAUUUUGUCCUGUGUGUAAAUAAUUGUAGCAUGACACGUGAUAAGAUGAGCUGAUUUUGUGCAUUUCCUUCCUUAUACCAUCUCAAAAAAUGAGUGACACGGUGAGCGAGUAUUAGUGUUAGUAGUGUAGAUUUCCAUUCAGCGAGGUUUGACUAAUUUUAAUUUUUUUCUUCUUUGGAUUAAAAUUCAAUGUCACGAUGUGCUGCUGGCUGGCUGUGUAACAUAAUUUAUUCCUUUUCAAAAUUGUGGGCAGCUACGCUUGUGACCUUAACGGCGGUACUUCAAAGUGACGUGAUUUCAAAAAAUAUAGGAUUUAUUCCAACUUUGUAUGAUUUAAUAUUCCUCUGGAUUUACGAUGUUGGCCUGUUUAUCACUGGAGUGGCCAUUUUUUGCGGAUUAGUUUGGAAACGCCAGCGUUUCCUCUCCUACAUCAUAAUUUUCUUCCUCCUCCUCCAAUCCAUGGCGUUUUCCGUCGUCGUGGUCAUGUUGACGAUGGACCGGUUUAAAAAUACGGGAUUCGGGCCAAUCGUCGAGUCCACGCUGCGUAUGACUCCCAGCUUCGUGAUCUCCGUGAUUGCCGGUUUCCACUGCCUUGGAUCGUUCAUUUAUAUAAUUUUGUUGAUAAUUUGCAUUCACAAGUUGAACGAGAAGUAUAGUCCGUAUUGGAAAUGAUGAAGAAGAAAUUAAUAUGUAAGACAUGAAUAAAUAAUCUUUCACGUUUC